AGUGAACGCUGGCGGUAGGCCUAACACAUGCAAGUCGAACGGCAGCACAGUAAGAGCUUGCUCUUACGGGUGGCGAGUGGCGGACGGGUGAGGAAUACAUCGGAAUCUACUUUUUCGUGGGGGAUAACGUAGGGAAACUUACGCUAAUACCGCAUACGACCUACGGGUGAAAGCAGGGGAUCUUCGGACCUUGCGCGAUUGAAUGAGCCGCUGUCGGAUUAGCUAGUUGGCGGGGUAAAGGCCCACCAAGGCGACGAUCCGUAGCUGGUCUGAGAGGAUGGAUAGGCACACCGGGACCGAGGAACGGGCCCGGACCCUAAGGGGAGGAGAAGGGGGGGAAUUUUGGAAAAGGGGGGAAACCCGGACCCGGCCAUCCCGGGGGGGGGAAGAAGGCCUUCGGGUUGUAAAGCCCUUUUGUUGGGAAAAAAAAGCAGCAGGUUAAACCCCCGCUGUUCGAAGGGUACCCAAAAAAAAAGCACGGGCAAACUUCGU
This 492-nucleotide ribosomal RNA is filed under the name uncultured bacterium. RNAcentral describes it as "partial 16S ribosomal RNA". It matches the Rfam family "Bacterial small subunit ribosomal RNA", at positions 30 to 506 of the family's 1533-position model. The record is from RNAcentral.